GGUCAUCCUGGGGUCACCCUGGGGACAGUCUAGGGAAGGAGAAGGCCGUGGCAACAGGGGGGAGGUGAGAAAGGGGGUGGGGAAAAUGGCAGCUGAGGGACUGGCCAGGAGCUGCUAUCCUUUGUCUGCCUGGCUUUUACGCGUGUGUGGGGACAAAGCCUCUCUGCUAGAAAGGGCUCCUUUUCCCUAGAGAUCUGCGGUGUGUGAGUGUGUGUGUGUGUGUGUGUGUGUGUGUGUGUGUGUGUGCGCGCGCACCGCGCCUACCCCUCUCCGAGGCUCUGGUGGGAAUGACUCAGCAACACAGCCAAGCCUGCUCCAUUCUGCCAGCUCCAUGCAUCUGCCACCCGUCCUCGGCCUUGUCCUGCUUCUUAUCCCUGCAGCACCCACACAGCUGGCCCACAGGCCUGACUCCCUGAUGCCAGUCACAAAGCCGGAAGCCAUCCUGGGGUGGGGCUGCCUCAGACCCUCCCUCAGCUCUCACCCUGGCCCCUUCCAGCUGCUUCUCUAUGCAUGGGGGUCCUCACAGGACCUCGUUCACCACUGCCCAGUGAGGACGCACUCUGACUGUCCUCAUCCACAGAUUCAGAAAAGGAGCACCACCAGGCCACCCCCCAUUUGUGCCCUCUACUGAGGGAUAGGUCUGUCCCCAGGGCUAAAGUUACCAGCACGGACACUCACUAAAGGACCGCAGCAGCAGCAAUGAAGAGAAACAGCUAGAAACAACCUGUGCUCAUCCGGAAAGAUGCUUCCUGUAAAUCACUGUGCAUCUGCAGGGCAGGACCCCCAGCAGCCACUGGAGAGGCUAGGCGCUGUCUGUGCACGAAUUGGACUCGAGUUUUAACUAGGCAAAGAGCCACCUGGAAUAAAGACUUAUCUCCUAAUCAUCUUUGCAUGUAGAUUUGCUCACGUGACUAUGUCCCAGCAAAUGGGAGCCAAAUGGAAGUAUGAGUAAGUUCCAAAGAGUGCCCUAGGGGACAGAGAUAUGCCUUUGCUCAUGCCUUCUUUCCCCCAUUCUGCUGAUGAGAUGGUGACUUGAUGGCUAGCCACUGAGCAGCCUGGGUUUGUUUUUCUUUUGGUACCAGGGAUCGAACUUGGGUCCUUGCACUUGCGCAGCAGGAGGCGAAACCACUGAGCUAAAUCCCUGGCCCUGAGCAGCCUGUUUGGACCAUGAAUUGAAAGGUACAUACUAGAGAAUGGUAGGUAAAUUAUAUACAAGGGGGCUGAGUCCUAAUAUCAUGAAGGACCAGCCCUGUGCUGCUGCUUCAACAUGAGAACAAGAAGGACAACUGAGGUUUCAGGGAACAGGGAGCUAGGGAGAGCCUGGGUCCCUCUUGACAAUGUAGAGUGGCCAUAUUAACUCUGGGGCUUCCAUUACAUGAGAGGAGACACAUACUAUCUUAGGCAAGCCACUAUCUCCUUAGGUAUCCUGUCCCUUCCCAGCCAUCGAACCCCAAGUGAAAGCCAUGAGCCAGCUCCUCCAGGAUGAGGGUAGGGGAGAGCCUGCUAAGCUUUUCCCCCUCCCUGUCCUUGGGGAGUGCUCAGUCAGGAAGGGGCCUAGGAGCUAGGAAGGGGGAGGCAAAGCCUCUUUUCCUCCAGUCCCAGAGGAAUGGGAUGAGUGUGAUCCUGAAAUGAGAUGCAGGGCUUGGGUGUAGUUCAGAGGCAGAAUGUGUGCUUAGCCUGCCGAAAGUCCCAGGUUCCAUCCCUAGAAGCAAAAAAACAAAACAAACAAAACAGCAACCAUGUUAACUACUCUGGCCCCGGGGGAUUACAGGUAAUUUGAGGGUAGAGACCAGCACAAUGCAUAGCAUACAGUAGGUGCUCAAUAAACCUUUGCGGGCUAAUUAUGUGAUAUCCUGUAACCAGCACUCCCUCCACAGUGCAGCUCAGCCUCUCAGACCAACUGUGCAGCUCUGAGUUUUCUCAGUGGAGGAUGUCCCUCUGGGACAAGGUGAUUCAAAGCUUGCGACACAUGGUCAUGCUCAGGGUAGCACUGGCUCCUCACAACUCCAACAACAGGGGCUAUGACUGCAAUCUUCAGAGGAGAAAGCAAGGACCCGGAACUUGGAAACUGCUUGCUCAGGAUCAGCCACGAGGAAGUGCAGGAGCAGGAACUUGAACCCCGGGUUUUGAAUGAAAAACUUCACCUACCUGAAACAAAGGCUGCACAUGAGAUUCUUACACAAAGGCACCCUUUUCCCAACUGCUCAUCCCAACACGGAGGCCCUGGGUCAGGUUUGUGACGUCCUGAGGUGCUGAAGGGGUGGGACAAGGGAGGGGAAAGCUGUCAGGCAAUCCCUCAGCAGCUUGGAGGUCUGGGAGACAGAUUCGACCAGCACUGGUGAUAGCCCAAACAGUGCAUUUGCACAAACAGAACAAGGAACAGAAACUCGAGUUGCUUUACUGCCAUCUACUGGAAAUUUGUCAUAAUAAUCAUUCAAAUUUGUGGUAAAUGGGGAAAAAAAAAGAAGCCUCCCUAGAAUCAUACAGUGUAGAACCUGAACAACAUGUGGAGCAGCCCUAGAUGCACCUUUUCUCACUUGAGAGCAUGAAAAAAAAAAAAAAAAGACCCAUCACCAUGGAGGCUCCAGUCCUGUCUGCUUCCUUCUUGCAUGAGAGUCCCUGGCUCAUCCAGAGGUGCUACAGCCAUCUGCCUGCCCUAGUUUCACCAUGAGACCCAGUAGAAUCCAUGCAUCCUUCCACCCGCUCCAGGCACACGUCCCAGACACCUACGCUGGGCCAGGUACUUAUCUGAAUUUUUCACCAAUUACUAGCUGUGCGUACUUGGACAUUUUCUUAGGCUACUGUCUACUCUUCAGUAUGAAGGGAUAAUAACCCAGCUGGCACUGUGAAUGAGACUUAAGUGAGAUAAUAUAUGUAAAGUCCUAGAAGCCAGUGGCUGACCCUGGACCUACUGCCAGCACCAUUAGAUCUGAGUUACACACAUGCAUGCAUGGGUGGCCAAAGGGAAGACAGGCUCUGGCACAUCUUCCCUCAGAAACAAUCAGGAAACUGUGGCACAAAUGCAUGAAUAUAAAGUUCUCAGUGUGAAGCUGAGCCCAGAGCACAGUGAGUGCCUGGGCACUGGCUUUUCUCCUUUUCCUCUAGUCCUGGCUGGAUCUGAAGCUGGCUAGGUGAGUUCAGGGUCCCUUUGAUUCCCAGGGAGAGAGAACAGUUGCAAGUUUCCUUUACCUGCAGGAAGAGGCUUCCAGACUACUGUGUGGCCAAGCCUCUGGACACCUCCAUGUCUGGCUCAAAGCAAGGCCACAGACCCAUAGAGUUUUAGUUUCUUCAUCCAUGAAAUGAAGCCAGUCAUAUUUACUUUGUAGCCAUUUAGGUAAUGCAAGAAGUAACUAAAAGGCCUCCAACCAUGCUGGAAACAAGCUAAACACAAAAUAAAUUAGAGAUGCAAUCUCAGCUCUGGGACCCAGGGGGCGUCUGGAGCCAGCUGAAGGAUUCUAUUCUCUGCCAUCAAACUGCCUACCACAAUUGGCAUGAGCACUUGAAAUUGCAGGUCCUAAAACUGAUGAGGAGGCAGGAUUGAGCUCACUCCAUCUCGCUCCUCCUAUGGGAGGGAAGUUGGUACACACUUUCCAGUGGGUAGGUAGGCAACAGGAUCCUUUUGACCCAGCCAUUUCAUUUCUAGGAAUUCAGCUAAGGAAAUAGUCACAGGCCCCUCAGAGUGUUGUGCUAGGACAUUCAUUGCAAUGUUGCUAAUAAUAGUGAGAAACUGGAAAUAAUCUAAAGUUAGAGACACAUUCAAUACACAUCUUGGCUGGAUGCCAAAUGGUCAAGUGCUAAGAUCAGUACUCAGCAGAAGCCAAGGCCAACGCUUUCCACCAUCUUCAUGCAGCCAGUGUCUUUGGUAAAGGAGUGAAUUUCAAGAAAAUGUUAUCAGACUUUGCAGUGCCAACAUCCUAAUCGACAUGUUUCACUGCCAGUGUUUGACAGUCUAACGUUACAGCUCAAGAACAGCAUUUUCUCAGUAUUAGCAGAAGAUGGAUUGUUUCUAUGUUAAAUACUGUGCACAUUUGUGUUAAUAAAUUGAUGCUUACAUUGACUGAUGCUUGUGGGAGAGUGUGACGGCCUCAUUUUUUCCCAAUACUUUCUUCUUUUCUCCAUAUUCUGUAUAUUCUUUCCCAUGUUGGGUUAAAUAUGAUUUGCCACAGAAAUAUUGAUCAAAAACUAUAGUCAAUGUUUAAAUAAAAAAUUAUUACAGAAAAGACACAUUGUCAUUAGUCCCCCUCACUUUGAACACACUUAUUCUAUUAUUCUUGCCACUUUCUGAAGCAGUUCUAGAAGUCUUCUUUUGUGAGUGUUUUUUUGUGUGUGAGUGCGUGUGUGUGCCUGCCUCAAUGUCCUGAACUAAUUAAAAAUGUUUACAGCAACUUCUGGCAAAUAAAAACAUUGCAGUGUGUCCUCAUCCACCUUACUUGUCAGAUCUAGCACCGUGAGGUUUCUGGUUCUUCCCCAAAGUCAAAAUGAUCAUGAAAGGUAAAUGUUUUGAACCAAUUCAAGAGAUUGAGGGACAGCCACAACAGUGCAAAUAAAGACACUCACAAAAGAAGACUUUCAGAACUGCUUCAGACAGUGGCAAAAAUGAUGGGAGAAGUGUGUUCCAAAGAGGAGGAGUAUUCUGAGGGGAAUUAAUGG
This 4650-nucleotide long non-coding RNA is filed under the name Heterocephalus glaber (naked mole-rat). RNAcentral describes it as "lncRNA (ENSHGLG00000040115.1)". The record is from RNAcentral. Lineage: Eukaryota; Metazoa; Chordata; Mammalia; Rodentia; Bathyergidae.